This 848-nucleotide long non-coding RNA is filed under the name Homo sapiens (human). The record is from RNAcentral. Lineage: Eukaryota; Metazoa; Chordata; Mammalia; Primates; Hominidae.
CACUUGUCGCCCAGCUGCGAACUGGAGCGGGAGGCGGCGGCCGGAGGGCCCAGGACAGCCCCGGGAGGGCGGCGAGGCGGAGCAGGAGCGCCCCGGCUCCGGCCACAUUCUCAGAGUCAGGAAAAGGGGCGAGAGGCCACAUGUCUCCCUCUCGCCCAACUGAAAACGAAACGGCGCUCCAGCAGAUUGGGUGGAAAGAGCUGGGUCUCUUUUCUCUGUUUUUCACGCUAGAAAGGGCUUGUAAACAUUGUUCCUUUUAAAAUGACCUACCCCAGGCAUUUGUUUGGGCACACUUCUGUCCUGGGGUCAUCGUUCCUAGGUGGCUUCGGACCUGGGACUUUUCCUGUAUCUGCACAUUGUCGUUUUAUACACAAUUGCCAAGGUGGGACUGCUUUCAACUUUACUGUGCUUGAAGCUGCAAAGGUUCUGCCCUGAUGUUUCCUGGAAUAAUGCUGAGGACUGCCUUUCGGGUAGCCGCCCUAUUCAGUUCACUUCAUCUCGGAAAUACCUGACCCCUGCCUUGGAUCCAGCGGCCCUCCUGAGAGCUGAGGAAGGAGGAAAUCCUAUGUGUCUGCUCCCGGAGCUGCCACAACCCAUCUUCCCACAACUCGGAACUUGGAAAAAGGAACCCAGGACACGACUUUGCUUUUCUUUUGGACCUAGUUGAAGUCACAGCUUGGAGGAAACCAGUUUGCACUAUUUGAUGAGGAAUUUGGCCACCAAACCACUGAUACUUUCCCAAAGGUUUGGCAGAAAUUGUUUUUUGAGUGGCUCACCAGAGUACCCAGAAGAAUCAGUAUGGAAUUAGAGGACAGUGGCCUACCCUAAAUAAAGACAUGAGUGAUGUA